Non-coding RNA from Salmo salar (Atlantic salmon), 73 nucleotides. The record is from Rfam. Lineage: Eukaryota; Metazoa; Chordata; Actinopteri; Salmoniformes; Salmonidae.
UCCCGUGUGGCUCAGUUUGUAGAGCAUGGUGUUUGCAAUGCCAGGGUUGUGGGUUUGAUUCCCAUGGGGGGAC